This 72-nucleotide transfer RNA is filed under the name Dreissena polymorpha. RNAcentral describes it as "tRNA-Thr". The record is from RNAcentral. Lineage: Eukaryota; Metazoa; Mollusca; Bivalvia; Myida; Dreissenidae.
GCCCGGUUAGCUCAGUUUGUAGAACAUUCGCCCUGUUAGCGAGGUGUCCCGUGUCCGAGUCCCGGACUGGCA